RNAcentral lists this ribosomal RNA (355 nucleotides) under uncultured bacterium. RNAcentral describes it as "bacterial SSU rRNA". It matches the Rfam family "Bacterial small subunit ribosomal RNA", at positions 29 to 409 of the family's 1533-position model. The record is from RNAcentral.
AACGAACGCUGGCGGCAGGCUUAAUACAUGCAAGUCGAACGGGCGCAGCAAUGCGUCAGUGGCAGACGGGUGAGUAACACGUGGGAACCUUCCUCGUUGUACGGAACAACUCAGGGAAACUUGAGCUAAUACCGUAUAAGUCCGAGAGGAGAAAGAUUUAUCGCAAUGAGACGGGCCCGCGUCGGAUUAGGUAGUUGGUGAGGUAACGGCUCACCAAGCCAACGAUCCGUAGCNGAUCUGAGAGGAUGAUCAGCCACACUGGGACUGAGACACGGCCCAGACUCCUACGGGAGGCAGCAGUAAGGAAUAUUGCGCAAUGGGCGAAAGCCUGACGCAGCGACGCCGCGUGGGGAGU